AGAGUUUGAUCCUGGCUCAGGACGAACGCUGGCGGCGUGCUUAACACAUGCAAGUCGAACGGAAAGGCCCUUCGGGGUACUCGAGUGGCGAACGGGUGAGUAACACGUGGGUGAUCUGCCCUGCACUUUGGGAUAAGCCUGGGAAACUGGGUCUAAUACCGAAUAUGACCAUGCGCCUCCUGGUGUGUGGUGGAAAGCUUUUGCGGUGUGGGAUGGGCCCGCGGCCUAUCAGCUUGUUGGUGGGGUAAUGGCCUACCAAGGCGACGACGGGUAGCCGGCCUGAGAGGGUGACCGGCCACACUGGGACUGAGAUACGGCCCAGACUCCUACGGGAGGCAGCAGUGGGGAAUAUUGCACAAUGGGCGCAAGCCUGAUGCAGCGACGCCGCGUGAGGGAUGACGGCCUUCGGGUUGUAAACCUCUUUCAGCACAGACGAAGCGCAAGCGACGGUAUGUGCAGAAGAAGGACCGGCCAACUACGUGCCAGCAGCCGCGGUAAUACGUAGGGUCCGAGCGUUGUCCGGAAUUACUGGGCGUAAAGAGCUCGUAGGUGGUUUGUCGCGUUGUUCGUGAAAACUCACAGCUUAACUGUGGGCGUGCGGGCGAUACGGGCAGACUUGAGUACUGCAGGGGAGACUGGAAUUCCUGGUGUAGCGGUGGAAUGCGCAGAUAUCAGGGGGAACACCGGUGGCGAAGGCGGGUCUCUGGGCAGUAACUGACGCUGAGGAGCGAAAGCGUGGGGAGCGAACAGGAUUAGAUACCCCGGUAGUCC
RNAcentral lists this ribosomal RNA (771 nucleotides) under uncultured bacterium. Its description in RNAcentral is "bacterial SSU rRNA". It matches the Rfam family "Bacterial small subunit ribosomal RNA", at positions 8 to 796 of the family's 1533-position model. The record is from RNAcentral.